RNAcentral lists this ribosomal RNA (447 nucleotides) under uncultured bacterium. RNAcentral describes it as "bacterial SSU rRNA". It matches the Rfam family "Bacterial small subunit ribosomal RNA", at positions 328 to 792 of the family's 1533-position model. The record is from RNAcentral.
UAGCCAGACUCCUACGGGAGGCAGCAGUGGGGAAUAUUGCACAAUGGGGGAAACCCUGAUGCAGCGACGCCGCGUGAGUGAAGAAGUCUUUCGGUAUGUAAAGCUCUAUCAGCAGGGAAGAAAAUGACGGUACCUGAGUAAGAAGCCCCGGCUAACUACGUGCCAGCGGCCGCGGUAAUACGUAGGGGGCAAGCGUUAUCCGGAUUUACUGGGUGUAAAGGGGGCGUAGACGGCCAGACAAGUCUGAAGUGAAAAUCCAGCGCUUAACGUUGGAAGUGCUUUGGAAACUGCCGGGCUAGAGUGCAGGAGGGGCAGGCGGAAUUCCUAGUGUAGCGGUGAAAUGCGUAGAUAUUAGGAGGAACACCAGUGGCGAAGGCGGCUUACUGGACUGUAACUGACGUUGAGGCUCGAAAGCGUGGGGAGCAAACAGGAUUAGAUACCCCUGUA